Molecule: ribosomal RNA, 274 nt
Filed under: uncultured bacterium
Lineage: Bacteria
Description: partial 16S ribosomal RNA
Rfam family: Bacterial small subunit ribosomal RNA
Source: RNAcentral
AUACGGAGGGUCCGAGCGUUAUCCGGAAUCAUUGGGUUUAAAGGGUCCGUAGGCGGGAAUCUAAGUCAGUGGUGAAAUCUUGCAGCUCAACUGUAAAAUUGCCAUUGAUACUGGAUUUCUUGAAUUGGUGUGAAGUGGUUAGAAUGUGUAGUGUAGCGGUGAAAUGCAUAGAUAUUACACAGAAUACCAAUUGCGAAGGCAGAUCACUAACACUAUAUUGACGCUGAGGGACGAAAGCGUGGGGAGCGAACAGGAUUAGAAACCCCUGUAGUCC